CCAUAGUGCUCCUGUAAGUUGCUCUGGAUAAGAGCAUCUGCUAAAUGACUAAAA
This is a non-coding RNA of Salmo salar (Atlantic salmon), 54 nucleotides long. The record is from Rfam. Lineage: Eukaryota; Metazoa; Chordata; Actinopteri; Salmoniformes; Salmonidae.